CGAGCGGACAGAAGGGAGCUUGCUCCCGGAUGUUAGCGGCGGACGGGUGAGUAACACGUGGGUAACCUGCCUGUAAGACUGGGAUAACUCCGGGAAACCGGAGCUAAUACCGGAUAGUUCCUUGAACCGCAUGGUUCAAGGAUGAAAGACGGUUUCGGCUGUCACUUACAGAUGGACCCGCGGCGCAUUAGCUAGUUGGUGGGGUAAUGGCUCACCAAGGCGACGAUGCGUAGCCGACCUGAGAGGGUGAUCGGCCACACUGGGACUGAGACACGGCCCAGACUCCUACGGGAGGCAGCAGUAGGGAAUCUUCCGCAAUGGACGAAAGUCUGACGGAGCAACGCCGCGUGAGUGAUGAAGGUUUUCGGAUCGUAAAGCUCUGUUGUUAGGGAAGAACAAGUGCGAGAGUAACUGCUCGCACCUUGACGGUACCUAACCAGAAAGCCACGGCUAACUACGUGCCAGCAGCCGCGGUAAUACGUAGGUGGCAAGCGUUGUCCGGAAUUAUUGGGCGUAAAGGGCUCGCAGGCGGUUUCUUAAGUCUGAUGUGAAAGCCCCCGGCUCAACCGGGGAGGGUCAUUGGAAACUGGGAAACUUGAGUGCAGAAGAGGAGAGUGGAAUUCCACGUGUAGCGGUGAAAUGCGUAGAGAUGUGGAGGAACACCAGUGGCGAAGGCGACUCUCUGGUCUGUAACUGACGCUGAGGAGCGAAAGCGUGGGGAGCGAACAGGAUUAGAUACCCUGGUAGUCCACGCCGUAAACGAUGAGUGCUAAGUGUUA
RNAcentral lists this ribosomal RNA (779 nucleotides) under Bacillus sp. MJ340. Its description in RNAcentral is "bacterial SSU rRNA". It matches the Rfam family "Bacterial small subunit ribosomal RNA", at positions 63 to 825 of the family's 1533-position model. The record is from RNAcentral. Lineage: Bacteria; Bacillati; Bacillota; Bacilli; Caryophanales; Bacillaceae.